This is a long non-coding RNA of Oncorhynchus keta (chum salmon), 664 nucleotides long. RefSeq lists it as uncharacterized. The record is from RefSeq and is a predicted model, not a curated record. Lineage: Eukaryota; Metazoa; Chordata; Actinopteri; Salmoniformes; Salmonidae. The transcript is spliced from 4 exons.
UUUUAAUAGUCACAUGUUCAGGGUUACAGGUGUGAUUGUUGUUCAGAUUCAGUGUUUUAAUAGUCACAUGUUCAGGGUUACAGGUGUGAUUGUUGUUCAGAUUCAGAGUGUUUAAUGGUCACAUGUUCAGGGUUACAGGUGUGAUUGUUGUUCAGAUUCAGAGUGUUUAAUGGUCACAUGUUCAGGGUUACAGGUGUGAUUGUUGUUCAGAUUCAGAGUGUCUAAUGGUCACAUGUUCAGGUGUGAUUGUUGUUCAGAUUCAGAGUGUCUAAUGGUCACAUGUUCAGGUGUGAUUGUUGUUCAGAUUCAGAGUGUCUAAUGGUCACAUGUUCAGGGUUACAGGUGUGAUUGUUGUUCAGAUUCAGAGUGUUUAAUGGUCACAUGUUCAGGGUUACAGGUGUGAUUGUUGUUCAGAUUCAGAGUGUCUAAUGGUCACAUGUUCAGGUGUGAUUGUUGUUCAGAUUCAGAGUGUCUAAUGGUCACAUGUUCAGGUGUGAUUGUUGUUCAGAUUCAGAGUGUCUAAUGGUCACAUGUUCAGGGUUACAGGUGUGAUUGUUGUUCAGAUUCAGAGUGUCUAAUAGUCACAUGUUCAGGUGUGAUUGUUGUUCAGAUUCAGAGUGUCUAAUGGUCACAUGUUCAGGGUUACAGGUGUGAUUGUUGUUCA